GCCCUUGUAGCUCAGUGGAUAGAGCAGCGGUUUCCUAAACCGUGUGUCGGAAGUUCGAGUCUUCUCAAGGGCG
RNAcentral lists this transfer RNA (73 nucleotides) under Eubacteriaceae bacterium. Its description in RNAcentral is "tRNA-Arg". It matches the Rfam family "tRNA". From Rfam's summary of the family: Transfer RNA (tRNA) molecules are approximately 80 nucleotides in length. Their secondary structure includes four short double-helical elements and three loops (D, anti-codon, and T loops). The record is from RNAcentral. Lineage: Bacteria; Bacillati; Bacillota; Clostridia; Eubacteriales; Eubacteriaceae.